UACGUAGGGUGCAAGCGUUGUCCGGAAUUAUUGGGCGUAAAGAGCUUGUAGGCGGUUUGUCGCGUCUGCUGUGAAAUUUCGGGGCUCAACCCCGAACUUGCAGUGGGUACGGGCAGACUAGAGUGUGGUAGGGGAGACUGGAAUUCCUGGUGUAGCGGUGAAAUGCGCAGAUAUCAGGAGGAACACCGAUGGCGAAGGCAGGUCUCUGGGCCAUAACUGACGCUGAGAAGCGAAAAGCAUGGGGAGCGAAACAGG
This 255-nucleotide ribosomal RNA is filed under the name uncultured bacterium. RNAcentral's name for it is "partial 16S ribosomal RNA". It matches the Rfam family "Bacterial small subunit ribosomal RNA", at positions 524 to 776 of the family's 1533-position model. The record is from RNAcentral.